Long non-coding RNA from Oncorhynchus nerka (sockeye salmon), 1620 nucleotides. RefSeq lists it as uncharacterized. The transcript has 2 exons. Lineage: Eukaryota; Metazoa; Chordata; Actinopteri; Salmoniformes; Salmonidae. The record is from RefSeq and is a predicted model, not a curated record.
AUUGCUCACUGGGCGAUGUAGGCAGAAAUCGUUGAAAUUUAAAUCAUAUUUUAUGUUGGAAUUAUAUACCUAUGUUCAGCUAUGUUCAGGCAUGUCUACAAUCACGACCUGGGCCCUAGGACCAUGCCUCAGGACUACCUGGCAUGAUGACUCCUUGCUGUCCCCAGUCCACCUGGCCGUGCUGCUGCUCCAGUUUCAACUGUUCUGCCUGUGAUUAUUAUUUGACCAUGCUGGUCAUUUAUGAACAUUUGAACAUCUUGGCCAUGUUGUUAUAAUCUCCACCCGGCACAGCCAGAAGAGGACUGGCCACCCCACAUAGCCUGGUUCCACUCUAGGUUUCGGCCUUUCUAGGGAGUUUUUCCUAGCCACCGUGCUUCUACACCUGCAUUGCUUGCUGUUUGGGGUUUUAGGCUGGGUUUCUGUACAGCACUUUGAGAUAUCAGCUGAGGUACGAAGGGCUAUAUAAAUACAUUUGAUUUGGUCCUAUUCUGUGAGCUUGUGUGACCUACCACUUUAACACUGAUGCUCCUAGAGGUUUCCAAUUGACAAUAACAUCACUUUGUUGACCGGUGCAGCUCGAGCAGGGCAGAAAUUUGACAAACUGACUUGUUGGAAAGGUAGCAUCCUAUGACGGUGCCACGUUGAAAGUCACUGAGCUCUUCAGUAAGGCCAUUCUACUGCCAAUGUUUGUCUAUGAAGAUUGUAUCCACUAAAUCCACUAAUUUGAAGUGGUGUCCACAUACUUUUAUAUAUAUAGUGUACUCUUUAUGGCUGUGCAGUCUAAAAUCAUCAGAAAGUAUAUAUGUAAUGUUGACUCAUAUCUGUGCAGAUCAGAUCAUGACUCAAUAGCUUUGUUGGAGCCUUCCAACAGAGAACAACAUAUUAGACAUAUUAAAAGGUCAUUUGAUUUCAUUAGGUACAAAUAAGUAUUGGAUACUGGUUAUGCUUUAAAAAGUACAUCUCAACAUGUACUACUGUUGUCAAUUUAGCUUUUUGCCACUUAAUGACAUGCUCUCACUUAGUUGAAAAACUUAUGAUUUCAAGCAGUUCUGAAUGAAGAUACUUUGUUUAAAAACUACACUAAAAUGUUUAAUUUGGUUGAUAAAAAUUAGGUAUUGUUGAAAAUAAAAAUCGAUUUUUAAACUGAACUCCCCUACCAGGAAGGGGGGGGGGGGCAGUAAGUAUAGCAGGGUUUGUUCCCAGAAUAGUAACUCUUCAGGUGUUGGUGCAAGAAUUCUGUGCUUUAACCUUUCAAUACUGUCAUGUUUGAAUAAUUGUAACACAAAAUGAUUCGAGGCCAAAAGAUUGAGUUGCUAACUCAAGUCUCAUUCAUGUACAAGUGUGACUGGCACCCAACUAUUAUUUUCCAACAAAUAUCAUCCAGUUAAAAUUAAGUUAAUCAAAACAAAACUUUACUUUGUAUACAUUUUUAAUUUAAAAAGUUUAUAACACUUCACCUAUAGAUUGCAACAUUUCUGAAGUCAGGUACAUCACCUAACGAUAAGGUGUAAAAACACAAUGCUAGAAAAGGUUUUUUUAUCCAUCAUAUUCCAAAAAUGUGUUUCCCCAAUCUCAUACUCCAGUUAAGUAUCAAUGUAAAAUAAACUCCAUAUAUAUGUG